UUAUUGGCUAGACUGGAGGGUUAGGGGUCCUCUGUAAGCACACACCCCCUUAGGUGCAGUUGAAGUUCAGAAGGCGGCUUUUGGAUUUAAUAACAGCCUUGAAAAUUGAUAUAGAAACCUCGUCCUACAGGAUCAUUGGUCAUAAGGUCUUAACUGGAGGGUUAAGAUUAAUUAUGUUUUUUGUGGGAACGUGUCAGGCCUGGAAAGGAGCAGCUCUACCAUAAACACUUGAUGCUUGUAGAUUAGCGGGGCGGAGUUGAUUUUUGAGAGUACUGUUAUUAUUGAUACUAGUCCACUUCUGAACAUGCCGCUUA
Molecule: signal recognition particle RNA, 314 nt
Filed under: Methanobrevibacter arboriphilus
Lineage: Archaea; Methanobacteriati; Methanobacteriota; Methanobacteria; Methanobacteriales; Methanobacteriaceae
Description: signal recognition particle sRNA
Rfam family: Archaeal signal recognition particle RNA
Source: RNAcentral